GCCCAGUGAUGAGACCAAGGCGAAUAUGAGCCCACUGAUUUAGAGGCUGAGCUCUCCUGUGCUCCCAUUGGCUGGUAAUCUUGGCUGGACAGAGGAGAUUUGCUGUUCUGCUGUAAGGGCUUGCCUACAUUCAACUAGCUCAUCCCUCUUUCUAUCCUUUAAAGAAAUGGGGGAGAUAAAGAAGGGGAGCUCACAGUGUGCGUGUGUGAAGGGUCACAGGUUGAGUCUCAGUGCUCUGGAAUAAAUCUGUGGGCAUUGAGCUCUCUCUUUGGUAAUCUGAGGGAA
Molecule: small nucleolar RNA, 285 nt
Organism: Triplophysa rosa
Lineage: Eukaryota; Metazoa; Chordata; Actinopteri; Cypriniformes; Nemacheilidae
Source: RefSeq, a predicted model, not a curated record